This 232-nucleotide long non-coding RNA is filed under the name Elaeis guineensis (African oil palm). RNAcentral describes it as "long non-coding RNA (EGUI_LNC005712)". Lineage: Eukaryota; Viridiplantae; Streptophyta; Magnoliopsida; Arecales; Arecaceae. The record is from RNAcentral.
GGAAACAGUGAUCGAUCUAGAAGAUUGAUGUACGAUUAUUUUUUUUAGAUAGAUGAGUCUGGAGUCUACGGUGUGGAGACAUCAGAGUAAAAGUAUAGAUGUUUGUUAAGAACAAGGGUACUGAAUAUGAUCAUUUACGAACAGUCAUAAAAAUAUCUAUUUUUUCGUCAGUGACAUGUUCAUAGCUAUAGUUGUGUAUUUAGUUCUCUGAUCUGAGAUGCAUCGGUAGUUC